This 575-nucleotide ribosomal RNA is filed under the name Colletotrichum caudatum. RNAcentral describes it as "eukaryotic LSU rRNA". The stretch from base 204 to 357 matches the Rfam family "5.8S ribosomal RNA". Lineage: Eukaryota; Fungi; Ascomycota; Sordariomycetes; Glomerellales; Glomerellaceae. The record is from RNAcentral.
UUCCGUAGGGGAACCUGCGGAGGGAUCAUUAAUGAGUUACCGCUCUAUAACCCUUUGUGAACAAACCUUAAUGUUGGUUCGGCGGGUUGGGGGANUCCGUCCCCCCCCCCGGCCGCGCCCCUCGSGGGGCGUGGCGCCCGCCGGAGGAUACCAAAACUYUWUUUUAACGACGUCUCUUCUGAGUGGCACAAGCAAAUAAUUAAAACUUUUAACAACGGAUCUCUUGGUUCUGGCAUCGAUGAAGAACSCAGCGAAAUGCGAUAAGUAAUGUGAAUUGCARAAUUCAGUGAAUCAUCGAAUCUUUGAACGCACAUUGCGCCCGCCAGCACUAUGGCGGGCAUGCCUGUUCGAGCGUCWUUUCAACCCUCAAGCUCCGCUUGGUGUUGGGGCCCUACGGUGGACGUAGGCCCUUAAAGGUAGKGGCGGACCCUCCCGGAGCCUCCUUUGCGUAKUAACUAACGUCUCGCAUCGGGAUCCGGAGGGACUCCUGCCGUAAAACCCCCAACUUUUUACCGGUUGACCUCGAAUCAGGUAGGAAUACCCNUUGAACUUAAGCAUAUCAAUAAGCGGAGGAA